RNAcentral lists this long non-coding RNA (317 nucleotides) under Mytilus galloprovincialis (Mediterranean mussel). Lineage: Eukaryota; Metazoa; Mollusca; Bivalvia; Mytilida; Mytilidae. The record is from RNAcentral.
UAACAAGAAUGUGUCCAAAGUACACAGCUGCCCCACUCGCAUUAUCAUUUUCCAUGUUUUAUGGACUUUAAAAUUGGAUAAAUAUUUAAUUUGGCAUUACAAUUAGAAAGAUUAUACUAUAGGGAACAUGUGUACUAAGUUUCAAGUUGAUUGGACUUCAAUUCAUUAAAAACUACCUUGACCAAAACUUUAACUGAAGCGGGACGAACGAACGAACGGACGGACAGACGAACGAACGAACGAACGAACGAACGAACGAACAGAGCCACAGACCAGAAAACAUAAUGCCCCUCUACUAUCGUAGGUGGGGCAUAAAA